This 472-nucleotide ribosomal RNA is filed under the name uncultured bacterium. Its description in RNAcentral is "bacterial SSU rRNA". It matches the Rfam family "Bacterial small subunit ribosomal RNA", at positions 355 to 825 of the family's 1533-position model. The record is from RNAcentral.
UCGGGAAUAUUGGACAAUGGGCGAAAGCCUGAUCCAGCCAUGCCGCGUGUGUGAAGAAGGUCUUCGGAUUGUAAAGCACUUUAAGUUGGGAGGAAGGGCAGUUACCUAAUACGUGAUUGUUUUGACGUUACCGACAGAAUAAGCACCGGCUAACUCUGUGCCAGCAGCCGCGGUAAUACAGAGGGUGCAAGCGUUAAUCGGAAUCACUGGGCGUAAAGGGUGUCGAGGCGGUUGUAUUAGUCGUUCGUAAAAUCUACGAGCUUAACUUGUAGGCGGCGAACGAAACGGUACGACUUGAGGUUUGGAGAGGUGCGUGGAACUCACGGUGUAGGGGUGAAAUCCGUUGAUAUCGUGGGGAACACCAAAGGCGAAGGCAGCGCACUGGCCAAAAUCUGACGCUCACACACGAAAGCUAGGGUAGCGAAGAGGAUUAGAUACCCACGUAGUCCCUGAGCGGGCUGGCAAGGCGCAU